Long non-coding RNA from Stomoxys calcitrans (stable fly), 578 nucleotides. RefSeq lists it as uncharacterized. The transcript has 3 exons. Lineage: Eukaryota; Metazoa; Arthropoda; Insecta; Diptera; Muscidae. The record is from RefSeq and is a predicted model, not a curated record.
CAAAAUUGUUGUCGAACCACUCGAGGAAAAGUUGUUCUUGUGUUGCCCAGGCUCUCUUAUUGGAUUUAUAAACUACAGGAAGUUUGCAUCUGUUUGUUCCAGCCGCAUUACCACAAAGCAAAGCUGUUAUGUUCUCCUUGGAUGCUUUGUAUCCAUCGAUGGAUAAUUGUUUUCCAGUUACCAGCUAACACUUUCAAAAAAUGGGCUGGUUUCGUCGGCGUUAUAAAUUUGUUCAGUUGACUGAUUUUCACUUUCAAUAUAUUCGCUUAUUGCAAAUGCAAAUUUUCUCACAUAUCAAUGAGUGCAGUCCGAUUCAAGUAGAAGCUCAAUGAUAAGGGGGCUCCUUUUUAUAGCCGAGUCCGAACGGCGUGGUGCAGUGCGACAUCUCUUUGGAGAGAAGUUUUACAUGGCAUAGUACCUCACAAAUGUUGCCAACAUUGGGAGGGGAAAAACCACCGCUGAAAAUUUUUUCUGAUGGUCUCGCCAGGAUUCGAACCCAGGCGUUCAUCGUCAUAGGCGGACAUGCUAACCUCUGCGCUACGGUGGCCUCCUUUUUAGUUAUUACUUCACCUAAAAUU